AACGAACGCUGGCGGCAUGCCUAACACAUGCAAGUCGAACGAGACCUUCGGGUCUAGUUGCGCACGGGUGCGUAACGCGUGGGAACCUGCCCUUAGGUUCGGAAUAACUCCCCUAAAGGGGUGCUAAUACCGGAUAAUUUCUUCGGACCAAAGAUUUAUCGCCUUUGGAUGGGCCCGCGUUGGAUUAGCUAGUUGGUAGGGUAAAAGCCUACCAAGGCGACGAUCCAUAGCUGGUCUGAGAGGAUGAUCAGCCACACUGGGACUGAGACACGGCCCAGACUCCUACGGGAGGCAGCAGUGGGGAAUAUUGGACAAUGGGCGAAAGCCUGAUCCAGCAAUGCCGCGUGAGUGAUGAAGGCCUUAGGGUUGUAAAGCUCUUUUACCCGGGAUGAUAAUGACAGUACCGGGAGAAUAAGCUCCGGCUAACUCCGUG
RNAcentral lists this ribosomal RNA (433 nucleotides) under uncultured bacterium. RNAcentral's name for it is "partial 16S ribosomal RNA". It matches the Rfam family "Bacterial small subunit ribosomal RNA", at positions 29 to 507 of the family's 1533-position model. The record is from RNAcentral.